GCCUCCGUCGUAUAGUGGCUAGUAUAGGGGACUGUGGAUCCCCGGACGGGUGUUCGAUUCCCCCCGGAGGCC
This is a transfer RNA of 72 nucleotides. It matches the Rfam family "tRNA". Rfam says of the family: Transfer RNA (tRNA) molecules are approximately 80 nucleotides in length. Their secondary structure includes four short double-helical elements and three loops (D, anti-codon, and T loops). Further hydrogen bonds mediate the characteristic L-shaped molecular structure. tRNAs have two regions of fundamental functional importance: the anti-codon, which is responsible for specific mRNA codon recognition, and the 3' end, to which the tRNAs corresponding amino acid is attached (by aminoacyl-tRNA synthetases). tRNAs cope with the degeneracy of the genetic code in two manners: having more than one tRNA (with a specific anti-codon) for a particular amino acid; and 'wobble' base-pairing, i.e. permitting non-standard base-pairing at the 3rd anti-codon position. The record is from Rfam.